AGAAUCAACGCUGGCGGCGUGCCUAACACAUGCAAGUCGAACGAGAAAGUGGGAGCAAUCCCACGAGUAAAGUGGCGCACGGGUGAGUAACACGUGACUAACCUACCCUUGAGUGGGGGAUAACCUAGGGAAACCUGGGCUAAUACCGCAUAAUACCUACGGGUCAAAGGAGCAAUUCGCUUUAGGAGGGGGUCGCGGCAGAUUAGUUAGUUGGCGGGUAAUGGCCCACCAAGACAGUGAUCUGU
RNAcentral lists this ribosomal RNA (245 nucleotides) under uncultured bacterium. RNAcentral's name for it is "partial small subunit ribosomal RNA". It matches the Rfam family "Bacterial small subunit ribosomal RNA", at positions 26 to 284 of the family's 1533-position model. The record is from RNAcentral.